RNAcentral lists this ribosomal RNA (497 nucleotides) under uncultured bacterium. Its description in RNAcentral is "partial 16S ribosomal RNA". It matches the Rfam family "Bacterial small subunit ribosomal RNA", at positions 28 to 507 of the family's 1533-position model. The record is from RNAcentral.
GAUGAACGCUGGCGGCGUGCCUAAUACAUGCAAGUCGAGCGAACGGACGAGAAGCUUGCUUCUCUGAUGUUAGCGGCGGAAGGGUGAGUAACACGUGGAUAACCUACCUAUAAGACUGGGAUAACUUCGGGAAACCGGAGCUAAUACCGAAUGAUAUUUUGAACCGCAUGGUUCAAAAGUGAAAGACGGUCUUGCUGUCACUUAUAGAUGGAUCCGCGCUGCAUUAGCUAGUUGGUAAGGUAACGGCUUACCAAGGCAACGAUGCAUAGCCGACCUGAGAGGGUGAUCGGCCACACUGGAACUGAGACACGGUCCAGACUCCUACGGGAGGCAGCAGUAGGGAAUCUUCCGCAAUGGGCGAAAGCCUGACGGAGCAACGCCGCGUGAGUGAUGAAGGUCUUCGGAUCGUAAAACUCUGUUAUUAGGGAAGAACAUAUGUGUAAGUAACUGUGCACAUCUUGACGGUACCUAAUCAGAAAGCCACGGCUAACUACGUG